UACGAAGGGGGCUAGCGUUGCUCGGAAUGACUGGGCGUAAAGGGCGCGUAGGCGGUUCAUACAGUCAGGCGUGAAAUUCCUGGGCUCAACCUGGGGGCUGCGCUUGCGACGUAUGGGCUGGAGUGCGGAAGAGGGUCGUGGAAUUCCCAGUGUAGAGGUGAAAUUCGUAGAUAUUGGGAAGAACACCGGUGGCGAAGGCGGCGACCUGGUCCGUGACUGACGCUGAGGCGCGAAAGCGUGGGGAGCAAACAGG
Molecule: ribosomal RNA, 253 nt
Filed under: uncultured bacterium
Lineage: Bacteria
Description: partial 16S ribosomal RNA
Rfam family: Bacterial small subunit ribosomal RNA
Source: RNAcentral